Molecule: ribosomal RNA, 440 nt
Filed under: uncultured bacterium
Lineage: Bacteria
Description: partial 16S ribosomal RNA
Rfam family: Bacterial small subunit ribosomal RNA
Source: RNAcentral
CCUACGGGUGGCAGCAGUGGGGGAUAUUGCACAAUGGGGGAAACCCUGAUGCAGCGACGCCGCGUGUGUGAAGACGGUCCUCUGUAUUGUAAACCACUUUCGCCAGGGACGAAGACUACCGUACCUGUGGAGGAACCUCCGCCUAACGACGUGCCACCAGUCGCGGUAUUCCGUGGGGCGCGGGCGUUGGCCGGAAUUACUGGGUGUAAGGGGAGCGUAGGCGGGGAGGAAAGGUGGGUGGAAAAGCUACCGGGUAAACUGGUAGUCGCACUCGAAACUGGAGCACUUGAGUGAAGUAGAGGCAGGCGGAAUUCCGAGUGUAGCGGUGAAAUGCGUAGAUAUUAGGAGGAACACCAGUGGCGAAGGCGGCCUGCUGGGCUUUUACUGACGCUGAGGCUCGAAAGUGUGGGGAGCAAACAGGAUUAGAUACCCCUGUAGUC